CCUACGGGAGGCAGCAGUAGGGAAUUUUCCACAAUGGGCGAAAGCCUGAUGGAGCAAUACCGCGUGCAGGAUGAAGGCCUUCGGGUCGUAAACUGCUUUUAUGUGCGAAGAAUUUGACGGUAACACAUGAAUAAGGAUCGGCUAACUACGUGCCAGCAGCCGCGGUCAUACGUAGGAUCCAAGCGUUAUCCGGAAUUACUGGGCGUAAAGAGUUGCGUAGGUGGCAUUAUAAGUGGAGCGUGAAAGCGUGCGGCUCAACCGCAUUAUUGCGUUCCAAACUGUGAAGCUUGAGUAUGGGAGAGGUAGAUGGAAUUUCUAGUGUAGGAGUGAAAUCCGUAGAUAUUAGAAGGAACACCGAUGGCGUAGGCAGUCUACUGGCCCAUUACUGACACUAAGGCACGAAAGCGUGGGGAGCAAACGGGAUUAGAUACCCCGGUAGUCCACGCUGUAAACUAUGGAUGCUAGCUGUGACACACAUCGACCUGUGUCGUAGCGUAAGUUAACGCGUUAAGCACUCCGCCGUCGGGAGGUACGGUCGACGAGAAGUUAAACGUAACAANAGUAAGUUAGACGGCGUGAGACGUACGCCGACGGACGACGACGAGGGAGGUUAGG
This 615-nucleotide ribosomal RNA is filed under the name uncultured bacterium. RNAcentral describes it as "bacterial SSU rRNA". The stretch from base 1 to 521 matches the Rfam family "Bacterial small subunit ribosomal RNA", at positions 338 to 873 of the family's 1533-position model. The record is from RNAcentral.